AUUGAACGCUGGCGGAAUGCUUUACACAUGCAAGUCGAGCGGCAGCGCGGGGCAACCUGGCGGCGAGCGGCGAACGGGUGAGUAAUGCAUCGGAACAUGUCCAUGGAUGGGGGAUAGCCCGGCGAAAGCCGGAUUAAUACCGCAUGAGCCCGAGAGGGGAAAGUGGGGGACCGCAAGGCCUCACGUCGAUGGGUUGGCCGAUGCCCGAUUAGCUAGUUGGUGAGGUAAUGGCUCACCAAGGCGAUGAUCGGUAGCUGGUCUGAGAGGAUGAUCAGCCACACUGGGACUGGGACGCGGACCAGACUCCGACGGGAGGCAGCAGUGGGGAAUUUUGGACAAUGGGGGCAACCCUGAUCCAGCCAUUCCGCGUGAGUGAAGAAGGCCUUCGGGUUGUAAAGCUCUUUUGUCCGGAGCGAAACGGGGCGCGUGAAUAUCGCGCUCUACUGACGGUACCGGAAGAAUAAGCACCGGCUAACUACGUGCCAGCAGCCGCAGUAA
RNAcentral lists this ribosomal RNA (498 nucleotides) under uncultured bacterium. RNAcentral's name for it is "partial 16S ribosomal RNA". It matches the Rfam family "Bacterial small subunit ribosomal RNA", at positions 29 to 523 of the family's 1533-position model. The record is from RNAcentral.